GCGAGCGUUAAUCGGAAUUACUGGGACGUAAAGCGCAUGCAGGUGGUUUGUUAAGUCAGAUGUGAAAGACCCGGGGCGUCAACCUACGGAAUAGCAUUUAGUAAACUAGGCAGACUAGAGUACUGUAGAGGGGGGUAGGAAUUUCAGGUGUAGCGGUGAAAUGCGUAGAGAUCUGAAGGAAUACCGGUGGCGAAGGCGGCCCCCUGGACAGAUACUGACACUCAGAUGCGAAAGCGUGGGGAGCAAACAGGAUUAGAUACCCUGGUAG
RNAcentral lists this ribosomal RNA (268 nucleotides) under uncultured bacterium. RNAcentral describes it as "partial 16S ribosomal RNA". It matches the Rfam family "Bacterial small subunit ribosomal RNA", at positions 534 to 793 of the family's 1533-position model. The record is from RNAcentral.